UUUUUGGAAGCAGAGCCACAGCCAAGCCUCAGACAGAGGUUUCCCUCGGGUAGCAGCCCUUCUCCGGCCUCUGAGGUGUGUCUGCGGAGGAGAAAAACCCAAAAACAAACCCGCAACCAAAAGGCGGGAAGGCUGCGGCGGGAGCCGAGCCACUUCCUCAGUGAAUAAAUCGCGAUUAUUUACCGUGCCGCACCCCUGUAGGCCCUCCCGCCACAGACCUCCCCCCCGCGGCACACCGCCGGUGCGGGCCCGGUGUGAGCGGGACGGCAGCGGCCGUUUUGAGCCCGCACCGCCUUUGUGAGAGCCGCCGGGCCCCGCACCCCGCCAGGCCCCGCCGCGGCGCCCGCACCUCCCGGGCCCAGCGGCACCGAGGGCCGGGGCCGCCUCCCCGGGCCUGCACGGGGGGAGCGCGGCGCACCGCGGGCCUCCCCAGCUGUAAGACCGGGGGAGAGGGGGGGAAGGCAGGCCGCGCAGCCCACCGCGACAGCACGCCCUGUACGCCCGGAGCGUCGCGACUCGUCACGACAGCCCCCGCGCGCCUCCCCAGGCCUGUCGGGGAGGAGGCGCGGCGCUGAGGUGAGACCCGAAGGUACUGGUGGCAUUCACUGAGGAGGAGACGUGCUGCAAAGAUCUUCUGGGACCACGGGCCACAUCCUGAGGAGCUACAACAGCCUGCAAACCUGUGCUGAUCUAGAAGCCAACUGAAAAGCAACCACAGCUCAGUACCAUUACCAGCAGCAAGUGGCACAGAGCAAACAGCAGGAGGGGAGCAGAGUUUUGGUCCAAGACUGGUGUCAGAUACGCUCCUUGCGGUGAUGUUUGUGGGAAGCUGAACCUCAAGGUAACACAACCACAGCUGGAGACCUCAAGAUCUCAUGCAUAAACUGCUCGCAGUGCUCCACAUGCAGCUUAACUGAUCUAGCUUCAGAAAAGACACAGCUUGCCUAGUGUAAAACCACCUUUUCAGAACCUUUGGGUAAUUCUGAAAAAAAACCACCAUCCCCAACAAAAAACCAAACCAAACACCCACCAACUUAAAACCUCUGUGAACUCCCUUCCUGGCAUUUGUAGGACACUAACAGGGCAAGUCCUCACACCCUUGAAACAUUUAAUGUUAAAGGCUUAAACAAGGAGGAGAGACUUUCUCAUCUCUCCUCUACCACACACUCACCAUUCCCAUUCCCUCCAGCCAGUAGUUUUCCAACUCUUUCAGCCAAAAGAUUCAAGCUCCCCAAACAAAUUUUUCUGCCCUGACACACUCUAAUUCACAUGGCUGUUCAAAGGCUCUGCAGCAACUUCUUCCUUUCCGAUUCAAGGCAAUCAAUAAAUAAAUCACAGUCCUUGCGCCACAUGGCUCUGCUGCCGCAACACUCAUGUUCCCAGCCAGGGCCUGACACUGCCCAUCCUCAGAAGAAAUUCAUCAGGUGCACACACUGACUUGGCAAAUAUUUGGCCUCAUUUACAUACAAACUCACGUCUGUUUAAUUCAACUAUGUAACUGCUACAAACCAUCAUGUACCCACUCAUGUUCCCGCUCAGAAAUUACUUUUGCAAGAAGAGAACCAACACAACCUUCUGCAGAAGUUUAACGCGCAGACCUUGAGACUCACUGCGUGGGUUUUUCCAUGCAGAUGAGCCUUUCUGAGAUCUCGAGAGUGCCUGUCACCGAAACUGCUGGGCCCAACUGCAAGGCCAGGAGGGGAAGAGGACGAGGAGUUGCUGGAUGUCAUACAGAUACAUACAUAUGCAUAUAGUAAGGGGGUUUGUCCUUCCUGCUGCAUAGCGGCUUACAGGAGCAACCAAGAGAAGACUCAGUCUCUGGCCAAGGAUAUGGGGACUUGCACUGCUCUAACAGCUGGAAUCUGGACAAGCAGGAACCACUGUACGCUGUUUUCUCUCAUCUGUUACGUACAAAGUUUUGGACUUUUCCUGUGAGCCACUGGAUUGCAUCACAAUGAAAUUCACCACCAGACAUGGGCACAGGGAGAUCAUGAUCGGAGUGGUCAGCAGUGCCACGGUAAGACAUGAUUCAACAGCAGCAAGACAAGACUAACUAUUCGAAACUCGGUAUCAAAAGCAUCACUUCAUCUGUUCGUUCGCUGGCGGCUCUUCAUGGUUGUCCCCGUUUUAACCACUCUCCUCUAAGCCCCAGCAAGGACCGAGCAGUGCCAGAGACCUCCCUGGGAACACGGAUCGUUUUAUGACUGGACACCAGUUAAAAUCCAGGCUGGGAACACAAACCCCAGAGAGCUGAUGUGAACAGCAGCUGAAACUCGGACCUCUUGAGGAAGGUUUAACCCGUCUGAUACACAUCUGGCGUGUAUUCUCCUUCUCAGCCCCUUGAGGACACAUUUGCUCCUUGGAGUUGAGCUGUCCUGAGAAACGGCAUCGUAUGGGUGAAGCCUGUUGUGGGAGAACGGCUGCAGUUCUGUGGAUGCACAGGCCCUCAGGCCACGCAGCCUCCAGGCAUUAAUGUCACGUACAGACUUUUGACUAUUUCCUCCUCUUUUACUCUCGUUCAGUGAUGUGCCAAAAGACUAACAUUGGCAAACGCAUCACAAACCAGACCUCUAAACACUUCAACAGACACCUACAUAUCUGCUUAGAAAUCAAUACAAAAAACACAAAAAUAUUUACAUUCACUAACGUGAAAUACUUUAAAUAUAUUACAAUAAUUAUAUUACUCAUAAAUACACCCAGGUGAAAAUACUCCUUCCAAACAGAUGCAUGGAGAAGGCAGGAUACCAAAGCAAGGUGGGAAAUAAUUCCUCUCCAACACAGUGUUCAAUGAAUGCUGAAAAAAAGUAUUCAUUUCUAUGUGCAGAAU
Falco peregrinus (peregrine falcon) is the source of this 2827-nucleotide long non-coding RNA. RefSeq lists it as uncharacterized. The transcript is spliced from 5 exons. The record is from RefSeq and is a predicted model, not a curated record. NCBI's taxonomy places the organism in Eukaryota, Metazoa, Chordata, Aves, Falconiformes, Falconidae.